Molecule: transfer RNA, 67 nt
Filed under: Marmota monax (woodchuck)
Lineage: Eukaryota; Metazoa; Chordata; Mammalia; Rodentia; Sciuridae
Description: tRNA.Ala
Source: RNAcentral
GGUUGUGGCUCAGUGAUAGAGCACUUGCCUAGCACAUGCAAGGUCCUGGGUUCGAUCCUCAGCACCA